Molecule: ribosomal RNA, 515 nt
Filed under: uncultured bacterium
Lineage: Bacteria
Description: bacterial SSU rRNA
Rfam family: Bacterial small subunit ribosomal RNA
Source: RNAcentral
GACGAACGCUGGCGGCGUGCUUAACACAUGCAAGUCGAACGGGUUCGGAGGUUAGAAGACAGAGGUCAGAGGUAGGAAUUAAAAAUAGAAAUCGGCUCUGCCGAUUUCAACAAAAAUUCCGACAUCCGACUUCCGACUUCUGACUUCCGAUACUAGUGGCGGACGGGUGAGUAACGCGUGGGCAACCUACCCAUAAGCGGGGGAUAACAGUUGGAAACGACUGCUAAUACCGCAUAAGCUAUUAAGGUCGCAUGACCAUAAUAGUAAAGGUAGCGAAAGCUAUCACUUAUGGAUGGGCCCGCGUCUGAUUAGCUAGUUGGUGGGGUAGCAGCCUACCAAGGCAACGAUCAGUAGCCGGCCUGAGAGGGUGGACGGCCACACUGGGACUGAGACACGGCCCAGACUCCUACGGGAGGCAGCAGUGGGGAAUAUUGCGCAAUGGGGGAAACCCUGACGCAGCGACGCCGCGUGAGCGAAGAAGGCCUUAGGGUCGUAAAGCUCUGUUGUAAGGGACG